Bubalus bubalis (water buffalo) is the source of this 1195-nucleotide long non-coding RNA. RefSeq lists it as uncharacterized. The record is from RefSeq and is a predicted model, not a curated record. Lineage: Eukaryota; Metazoa; Chordata; Mammalia; Artiodactyla; Bovidae. The transcript has 2 exons.
CCUGGACCGCUGGUCCCCUGGAGCGUCCCGGAUGACAGCAGAGGUGUUUUUUUGUCUUCCUGUCUUAAGAGUGGAGGGCCAGAGAGUCCACUGUCUCCCUCUGGAUUAUCUCAGCAGAGAUGAGAAGUUCAGGGACCGCCCCCCUCCUUCCUACCAGCGAGAGCGUGAUUGGGUUUCCUAAAGGCCAGAGCGUGAUUGGGUUUCCUACCUGCGAGUGAUCGAGUUUCCUAACAGCAAGUGAUCGGGUUUCCUGCCAGCGAGUGAUUGGGUUUCCCUUUGCGUCCACAGGAAUGCUGUUUUGUGAGCCGACUUCCGGGACAAAAAAAUGCGUAUUUAUUUCUAAGAACUCUUUAUGGUGCACAAAUGCCUUGCUGUCUGGUUCAAAACUGGCACCAGACAACCCCCACCUCUACCAAACCUUUCCCGAUGAAGCAGGAAGGGAAAACGCCUUUUGUGAGAAGAGGAUAAGCCCUUGCAGGCUCUAUGGAAAUCUCCAUACCCACGUAGCACCAGCUCCCUUGAGCUUCACGGUAGUCCCACGAGUAGGCAGAGGACGUUCAUCUGUGUUUAUCUAGACUGGAACUGUGGGAUAUAGAUGGUUUCAGGCCCCGCUGCUGUAUCUUCCCAACCAGGCCUCCUGAAUUCAAACGGAGCUUCUUCAAGGCCGGUCUGUGCCUGGGGCCAGUCCCAUGUUGUGUUCAGAUGGGCGCUGGGACUGGGAUUAGGAUGUUCUUUAUCACUGCAUCCUCUCUACUUUGAAACACACUUCACCCUGUUUAUCCCAGGGGAGCUCUCCAACAACUCUGUGAAGUGGGUCCAUUUCAUGAGUGGAAAAGUGAGGCAACAGUGUUUUGCAGGGUCACAAAGAAAGUCCCUGAAGCAUUAUAGAGUGUGAAGUAAACACACAGUAAUAGUACAAAUGACACACCGAACCACAAGCAGAAUCCAGUCACACUCUCUCUCUCCCUGAUCUCACUAAACAAUGCUUUUAGGGGCUUACCAGCCAGUUCUUGUUGCCGAGACCACCACACUACUCUGUCCUUUCAUAAAUCAGAGCCUAGCCUCUGAUAUCAGGAAUAUUUUUGCCCACGUAGAUGAAGUUGACCCCGAGUGACAGUCAUGACAGAAGAAAACCAUGAGACCAGAUCAAGUUUAUGGAUAAAUAUAUUAGCAAAUAAAUACAUUUCUCAUCAUA